This 117-nucleotide ribosomal RNA is filed under the name Danio rerio (zebrafish). The record is from RNAcentral. Lineage: Eukaryota; Metazoa; Chordata; Actinopteri; Cypriniformes; Danionidae.
AAACACAGCCACAUCACUCUGCAGCCCGAGACCGGUUACUCACUGAAGCUAAGCAGGGCUGAACCUGGUCAUUACCUGGAUGGGAGACCACAUGGGAAAGCUAGGUUGCUGUUGGAA